Molecule: ribosomal RNA, 492 nt
Filed under: uncultured bacterium
Lineage: Bacteria
Description: SSU rRNA
Rfam family: Bacterial small subunit ribosomal RNA
Source: RNAcentral
GGGACGAACGCUGGCGGCGUGCUUAACACAUGCAAGUCGAGCGGAAAGGCCCACUUGUGGGUACUCGAGCGGCGAACGGGUGAGUAACACGUGAGUAAUCUGCCCUUCACUUGGGGAUAACGUCCAGAAAUGGGUGCUAAUACCCGGUAUUCACUUCUUCACGCAUGUGGGGUUGUGGAAAGGUUUUUCUGGUGGGGGAUGUGCUCGCGGCCUAUCAGCUUGUUGGUGGGGUAAUGGCCUACCAAGGCUUUGACGGGUAGCCGGCCUGAGAGGGUGACCGGCCACACUGGGACUGAGACACGGCCCAGACUCCUACGGGAGGCAGCAGUGGGGAAUAUUGGACAAUGGGCGGAAGCCUGAUCCAGCAACGCCGCGUGAGGGAUGACGGCCUUCGGGUUGUAAACCUCUUUCACCAUUGACGAAGUCGCAUUCUUUUGGGUGUGGUGACGGUAGGUGGGAAGAAGCACCGGCCAACUACGUGCCAGCAGCCGC